RNAcentral lists this transfer RNA (73 nucleotides) under Trachelomonas grandis. RNAcentral's name for it is "tRNA-Gly". It matches the Rfam family "tRNA". From Rfam's summary of the family: Transfer RNA (tRNA) molecules are approximately 80 nucleotides in length. Their secondary structure includes four short double-helical elements and three loops (D, anti-codon, and T loops). Further hydrogen bonds mediate the characteristic L-shaped molecular structure. tRNAs have two regions of fundamental functional importance: the anti-codon, which is responsible for specific mRNA codon recognition, and the 3' end, to which the tRNAs corresponding amino acid is attached (by aminoacyl-tRNA synthetases). tRNAs cope with the degeneracy of the genetic code in two manners: having more than one tRNA (with a specific anti-codon) for a particular amino acid; and 'wobble' base-pairing, i.e. permitting non-standard base-pairing at the 3rd anti-codon position. Lineage: Eukaryota; Euglenozoa; Euglenophyceae; Euglenales; Euglenaceae. The record is from RNAcentral.
GCGAGUAUAACUCAGUUGGUAGAGUGUGGUCCUUCCAAGUCCAAAGUCGCGUGUUCGAAUCACGUUACUCGCA